GUCCCCGUAGCUCAGUUGGAUAGAGUACCGGCCUCCGAAGCCGGGUGCGGCAGUUCGAGUCUGCCCGGGGACGCCA
Molecule: transfer RNA, 76 nt
Filed under: Candidatus Makaraimicrobium thalassicum
Lineage: Bacteria; Pseudomonadati; Candidatus Omnitrophota
Description: tRNA-Arg
Rfam family: tRNA
About the family: Transfer RNA (tRNA) molecules are approximately 80 nucleotides in length. Their secondary structure includes four short double-helical elements and three loops (D, anti-codon, and T loops).
Source: RNAcentral